GAAUUAUCUCCGGCCUCUGCAAGCGCUGUGCUCAGCCAAGCGUGAGGAGCUUUGGCUCCCGGUGCACAUACUUGCAGCAGGGACAUCGGCAUCUGGCUGAACCUGAAAGCUCAUCAUCCUCGCUGGAGGAAGGAGCUCUCCCCCAGGACCUGGGUUUCAGCUUGACAGGGAGAUGUUUCUGCCGCUGUGAUUAAUUUAGAAGUCAGAAAUGGAGAGAUCUCGCUGAUAAACGGGCUCGCUCCGGCUCUUCCGCCCCCUCUGCUGGCUGCUGGGUGUGCGAGGUGCGAGGCCGAAGGUCUGGAGGGGCUCGGUGGGAUCUCCGCUGGGCCAAGGGCUGGGGUUUGGCCAAGGGCUGGGGUUUGGUCAAGGGCUGGGAUUUGGCCCUGCUGCACGCCCCCAGCCCCUGCACCACCAGGGGGAGGCUGCUGGCAGGGCAUGGGGCUGGGACGAGGUGAGGGACAUCGGCUGAAAAUCCCUUCUUGCAUCCCUUGGGUCUCCCACCCGAUGUUCACGCAGGUCUUUUGGUGGCUUAUAGCACAACCGAACUCACUCUCUAUUUUUUUUUCCUUAUGGUGUAAAGUCUUUCAUGCUCGUUCCUGCAGAUUUGGUGGGAAUUCAGCCUCUCCGAGACCUCCACAGCUCUGCCAGGUUUGGCUGAUCAGGACCAUGGGUCUGACAGGAGCAAAACGAGGGAGAGGUGCCUCAACCAGGGGGAGGCUGGCAGCUGGGGGAGGAUGGAGCAGCAGCUACACCCUGCGAGAACGUCACUUGGCUGCUGCCAGAGCAAAAGCGAAGGGGUUCAGCCAUCUCGCCACCGAGACACUGCAAUUACUGAGCUACUGUAAAACAAGAUCUGCCAAGGAUAUUACAGCUGCUUUUCCCUCGUAAAGUCAAGGGUGAAGAAGCUGCGGGAACAUGGCUUGUGGCCAGGAGCCUGAUAAAGAUGCAAGGAAAAGCGACCAUUCCCAGGGGAAUUAACCUCCGUGGCCACUUGCUGCAGCUCUGCUUGUCUGAAUCAUAGAUGCUGCUGCAGCAUUCGUGCUGCACGACUGCAGAAGCUGCUCUUCCUCAUGGCCUGGAUCACUGGGAGGGGGUUAUUGCUUAUCUAAGAUGGUCUGUUCAAAGCAGAGCAGCAGUUGGUAUAUGGAAAAAAUUGCUGCUGCUGACUGGGGACCUUUGAUUAAGAUUUUAACACCUGCUAAGGAACCUGUCUUCAUGCCCAACAGGACAGAGCAGCCAGAGCUGGUGGGGAGCUUGCAGGAAGGAGAUGAGCUCUCCUGCCCUCCCCAAAGGCUGUUGUGUUUGUGCCUUUGUGUCUAACACUUCUUCGGGAUGGAGCACGGCGAUGAAGUGCUCUGUGCUCUCAGCCUUGGGAGGGGGCUUGGUAAAAGACAGGACAGGAUUUGGGGCCUGGCAGAGCUCCGCUGCUCUCCCAGGGUCCGUGUGUGGCCGGCAGGAAGCAGUGUAAUUGGCCAAGUAUGCACAAGACAAGUGCAGCACUUGGGGUGGCGAGCGACUUGAAGGGCAAAAUGUCCAAAAAAGCAGAGCUUUUGGACACUGAGCUCCAGCCUCUGCCAGUACAGCCUUGGCUGCUUCCAGGGCCACUUUACCCAAGCAGCGCUGGCUUUCUGCUUGGAGGGCAGAGAGAACAGGUUGUGAUAUAAAAUAUUUACUUAUUGCAAUUUAUUAUUUAUUGAGUCGAACCUAUUGCAACUCUCUAAGUGGAAGCAAAAGUAUCCCAUGUCUUAUCUUCUGCCAAAGACUUUCUUGCCAUGUCUGUGAUCCACUUGUAUUUAGAUCAAUCUUUGACUAUGCACUAAUGUUCAUUUCAAAUAAGAAUAAAUCAUGUUUUACAAGGCUUCA
Molecule: long non-coding RNA, 1863 nt
Filed under: Anas platyrhynchos platyrhynchos (common mallard)
Lineage: Eukaryota; Metazoa; Chordata; Aves; Anseriformes; Anatidae
Description: lncRNA (ENSAPLG00000020495.1)
Source: RNAcentral